RNAcentral lists this unclassified non-coding RNA (185 nucleotides) under uncultured Hypomyces. Its description in RNAcentral is "partial internal transcribed spacer 2". The record is from RNAcentral. Lineage: Eukaryota; Fungi; Ascomycota; Sordariomycetes; Hypocreales; Hypocreaceae.
CAACCCUCGAGCCCCCCCGGGGGCCCGGCGUUGGGGGACGGCUCCCGCCCCGUGUACGCGGGAUUGGAGGCCGCCCCCGAAAUGCAGUGGCGACCCCGCCGCAGCCUCCCCUGCGUAGUAGCUACACCAAGAAACCUCGCACCGGAGAGCGGCGCGGCUCGGCCGUGAAACCCCAACUUCUGAAA